UACAAUUGCAUUAAGUCUAACUGAACCUAGCAAUAGACCCUUACAUCUAAGUAUUGACUGACAUAGCAACAAGGUGGUUUACAUGCACUUUUAAUGAGGCAUGUAGCAAAAGCAUCAGGUUAGUGUGAAACAUGCAUGCGGCUAGCUGCAGUUUAAGUUUUGUACCUCAGUUAUUUAGGUGUGGCUAGUUUUCUUGUCGACUUCGUGCGUCUUAUAUGGUGAACAUACACAAUGCUAUACGGUAAACAUACACAAGGUUAUAUGAUGCACACACAACAGCAAAGUGUGUGAAUUAGUUACAUAUAUGGUUUCUUAUCUAGAAUAUGGAAUGUUGUCUUCUAACAAAAAGAAUAAAAAAUCUAUGUGUACAAUAUAUUCAUUGCACUAUCUUUGCUUGGGCACUCCGUGUCGUCGAUCAACACCUUUAAUACUUCUAUAUUUGUGACUUUUGAUAAUGCGACAUAUAGUUGCCCAAUGCAGAGGACUUGCUUACGAACAUAAAGGAACAACUUUUUAGGGAUUGACCGUAGCUUUUAUUUAUUGCCAUUGCCACACUAACUCAUGGAGCAUAUUGCCGCCUUUUCAGCACGAAGGGCAGUUUUUUGAGCAUCAAUCUGACUAAGCAUGUUUUUAUCUACUGAUGCUGGACAUCUAUGGGACACUUGAGGCCUACCAGUGAUGCUCACUAAAUGCAAAUACUCAGCAACACCAGAAAGAAGAUAAGUGUUGUUAUUUGGUGUACAUGAUUGAUAUGCAUUUAGUUAUAGGCUAAGCUGGUUGGUAUGCAUUUAUUUAUUGAUGUACAUGAUCAAUAUGAUAAUUUGCUGCCAUAUUUACAAGACACCUUUCUUCCAUUAUACUUCCAGACAUAUCACAGUUUCUCGUAUUUUUGUUUGGUCAAAUUUUAUACUAAUACUGGAUGCAUGAAUACAGCUUGCCAUACAUGUUAUUAGUGAACCAACACUAACACAUAUUUUUUUAGGAAGUAGCCAAUAUAUAACUGAUGGUGGCAGUACAAUACGUAUAUACUGGAUAGGUUCGGGCAAUAUGUAAAACUGAGAAAGAACGAGAGCUAUAGGCAUGGCGUGGUUUGCCAGGUCGUCACCAAGUCCCCAACGCUGUCACCAGCCGGACCUACGACUAUACUAAGAUGAGUCUUCAUCUCUAAAAGCUUCUGUAAACUAUAUAAUGGAUCUAUUAUUCUAACCAGCAAUGAAUUUAAGUAGCAAAUUCGUUUGUCAAUGGUUAGUUGUAUAAUUGCCUGCCAACACUGACACUAAUUGACAGCCAACCAUGACCAUCAAUUUAAUUUCACUUAUUAAUUUCCAACUAUUUUUCCAGAUAAGGCUCAAUAUAUAUGAAGCUAUGAAACUUACAUACGAACAUGACUUGACUCUUGGUUGUGAAUUAUUAAUGGAGAACAUGCAACCAAUGUUUUUGAAUGAUUUUGCACAUGAAUUAUCCGGUUAUUGUUCACUAUGGGUGCAUGUGUAUUAUUGGGUUUGAGCCUUAGGCAUGCAACAAUGAGAUCUAUUUGUAUUGUCUUCUUAACUACUUAAUCCGAAAUCAUUCAUCAAGUUUGAUCUUAAAUAUUAUCACAAUACUUUUGAUACAACAAAAAUUAUUUCAACUUGCCAUGUGGAAAAUCCAGUAAGAGCAUAUCCAUGUGUAUGUUUCCUAUGAAUGGUACGGGAUUUGCAAACUUAAAAGAUAUUAGAUAUUUGACAAAUUUUUUAACCAAAAAUGUUUGAAUUAUUUGUUCUGAUAUGGCUGUUUGACUGAUUGCAAUGAUGAUUGUUCGUAGUUUUUUUCGAACUGUGUAAGCAUAGAUUUACAUUUUGUAGACCCGGUGCAACGCAUAGGGCUUUUAUUACAUGAAAGAACUUAUUAUCCUGACAGUCAUAAUUUCAAGAUUUUCAUAAGUGUUUGUUUAUUUGUUUGUUGUCUGCCAUGUUAGGAAUUGCAUGCAUGCUUUUAUUGAUAUAAAAUGUGCUUCAGAAAAUCACGUGUUAUGAAUCCAUGCUAUAAUUUUGAAGGUGAACAUACAAAAAAUGUAAGAUAAAACAUACUAAUAUAACAACUAUUACAAUUUUAGAGAAGAUAAAGAUCCAGAAUUGUUCGUACCUAGAGGAACUCGCCUUCUAGAUGGUCCUUGCUUACACAAGGUACUCCUUGGGUAAUUUUCCUCCAGGUCUGCUGUUGUGAUGGCCGAACAAACAGCAAGGAGGGGGAGGACGGAUGGCAGACAAGGUUAACAUAUAUAGUUGUAAUAUCUGAGAGACCACACAAGUUCGAUGAAUGCUUUCAAUUCGAGUUUCUCCAUGGUUUCCCAAUGCCAAAGAUUUUAUUAUGAAGCUAAGCUUCUAGACACACAUCUGUUCUGGUUGUUAUGUGUAUGAGUUGACAUUAAGCAUGAAGCUAUUUCGACUGUGUAAAUGUGUUAAUUUAUCAACAAAACCGUGGUGAAUCUACAAUCAGGGGGAGCGUUGAUGUCUUCUCAUGUAAAGCAUGCAGGAAAUAAUUGUUGACUUUCAAUAAGCUUUGAAUAUAAGGUACAUACUGUUGGG
Molecule: long non-coding RNA, 2567 nt
Organism: Triticum aestivum (bread wheat)
Lineage: Eukaryota; Viridiplantae; Streptophyta; Magnoliopsida; Poales; Poaceae
Exons: 6
Source: RefSeq, a predicted model, not a curated record